This 9928-nucleotide long non-coding RNA is filed under the name Mytilus galloprovincialis (Mediterranean mussel). Lineage: Eukaryota; Metazoa; Mollusca; Bivalvia; Mytilida; Mytilidae. The record is from RNAcentral.
CCCGGAACAUCAAAAACUUGAGAUAAAAAUCAACCAGUAAUUUGACAUAAACAAAGAAAUGCACAACUUUGGCCUUAGUGGAAAAUAUAAAGGUGAAUCGUUCGACAAAAGAUUUACUUUAAAACGUUUAACUGGGUCAGUGUCGUAUAAUUAGAUCGAUAUCUGUCCAUAUCCGUAACCGAGGUUAAUAACUAGAUCACUAAAUUAUAAAGUGGCAGGUCGAAUCCGGAAACACAAAUGAAAUUACAAGAUACUAACUAGUGGCGGAUCCAAUUUUUUUCAUAAGUGGGGGUCCACUGACUGCUUAAGAGGUGGCCCGCUCCCGUCAUGCUACAUUGAUUCCCUAUAUAACCAACCAAAGUUUUCUCCAAAAAGGGGGACCGGGCCCCCUUUGGCCCUCCCCCUAAAUCUGCCUCUGAUAACUAACCUUACUUUAAAUGAAUGAGACACAACUUAAUAUCGCAGUGGACGGUGAGGAUGCAAGGAAUGUGGCGCGGAAUCAGGGUCAUAAAUAUCGGUUUUAGUAUAUCCUAAAAUGAUUUCAGUAUAUACUAAAUUACAUUUUAGCAUACCCUAAAUUGAUUUUAGGGUAUCCUAAAAUGAUUUUAGUAUAUCCUAAAAUGAUUUUAGUAUAUGCUAAAUUCAUUUUAGGGUAUCCUAAAGUCAAUUCAGUAUAUACUAAAAUGAUUUUAGCAUAUACUAAAAUCAUCUUAGGAUACCCUAAAAUCAAUUUAGCAUAUACUGAAAUAUUCAGCAUAUACAGAAAUAUUGGCGCGGUUUCAAGGUCAUAAAUAACGAUUUUAGUAUACACUUAAUUGAUUUUUAAGUAUAUCCUUAAUUCAAUUUGCUAAUAGUUUUGUUCACCAAUGAAAAGAUCGCUUUCUGGAGGAGUUGGAAAGACAGUCACUCGGACCUUGCUGAGAUGUGGCAAAUGUCCUCUCCCUUGACUUCAAACUUUGAAUAUUAAAAUACUUAUUCGGAAAAGAUAUAGUUACGAAACUGUUGACAGGUCAUUAAGGAUUGCAUAUUUUGGUAUUAAAUAUUGAUUCACUCAUUGUCUUUGCAUCGGAAAUAAACACAUUUAUUCUAAAACCAGUUGUUGAUAUGCUACGGGUUAUGUUCUUCUCAUUUAUUUUAUGAUGGUAUGAUACUAAACCCCUAAGGGAAGGGAUUGUACUUGAUUUUCAUAUGAUGAAGACAUAAUCUUUCAAUCAGUUUAAUUGAGGUCUGCAGCUUGCAUGUCAGUCCUUUGUUAAUUUAUUUAUCAUUGUCAUUUUGCUUGGUUUCUUUUGUUGCCUAUUCUGACAUCGGACUCGGACUUCUUUUAAACUGAGUUUUACUGUGCGUAUUGCUAUGUGUUUCUUUAUUCUACAUUGGCUAGAGAUAUAGGAGGAGGGUUGAGAUCUCACAAAACAUGUUUAACCCCUCCGCAUUUUCAGUUGCGCCUGUCUCAAGUCAGAAGCCUCUGGCCGUUGUUAGUCUUGUAUGUUUUUUUUUUUAUUUCAUUUAUAUGUUUUGGAAUUUAGUGUGACGUCCUUUUUCACUGAACGAGAUAACAUUUUUAGUUUGGGGCUAGCUGAAGACCACCUCCGGGAGCGAGAUUUUCUCGCUGCGUUGAAGACCCAUUGGUUUCCUUCGGCUGUUGUCUGCUCUUUGGUCGGUUGUUGUCUCUUUGACAUAUUCCCCAUUUCAUUCUCAAUCGUAUAAAUAUCUCAAGGGGCGGAUGCAGAUUUUCAAAGGCAUAUGGGUUACUAGUAAGUUGGAAAUCAAUCAGACUUCGUUUAGAUGGGACAUGUCUUCAGAAUGAAUAAAGAUGAACAAUAUGGGGAGGGGGGAGUAAAAGAUUGAAAAGUUAAACGUUUUUUGUUUGUUUUGUUUACUAAAUGCACAAUAAAUUUAUGUACAUCUCUUUUCGGUUAAUCUUCCUCUUGGCAUAUUCUUUUAACGAUUUAAAAGUCCAUCAAACAGAAAACUGAGAAGAUGUGUGUUACGUAUAAGACGCAAUAAACCACAAAAAACAUCUAAUAGAUAUAGGAAGAUGUGGUAUGAGUGGAUAGUGUCCAUGAGACAACUCUCAAUCCAAGUCAUAAUUAAAGUAUAUCAUUAUAGGUCAAGUACGGUUUUUGAGCCUUGGCUCACAGCCGAACAGCAAGCUAUAAAGGGCCCAAAAAACAGUUACUAGUGUAAAAUCAUUCAAACGGGAAAACCAACAUGGACGUCAAGUUGGUUACUUAUUCCCUAUUCCCUAUUCGUUACUAAUUCCCUAUUCGUUACCUAUUCCCAAUUCCCUAUUCGUUACCUAUUCGUUAUCUAUUCCCUGUUCCCUAUUCGUUACCUAUUCGUUACUAAUUCCCUAUUCCCUAUUCCCUAUUCGUUACCUAUUCGUUACCUAUUCCCUAUUCCCUAUUCGUUACUUAUUCGUUACUUAUUCUCUAUUCCCUAUUCGUUACUUAUUCCCUAUUCCCUAUUCGUUACCUAUUCCCUAUUCCCUAUUCGUUACCUAUUCCCUAUUCCCUAUUCGUUACUUAUUCCCUAUUCGUUACCUAUUCCCUAUUCCCUAUUCGUUACCUAUUCCCUAUUCCCUAUUCGUUACCUAUUUGUUAUCUAUUCCCUAUUCCCUAUUCCCUAUUCGAGCGCUGGAACGGGUACAUAUGCGCUAAUAUGGUUAUUUCAUCUCUAAGAACACAUUGUUACCACCAGAGACAUGAAUACAAUUGAAAAUCCUGUUCUAAAAGAUGCAACGUAUAACAAACGUAUUAUAAGCGAAUAAGUAACAGGGUAUUAUCCGAGCGCUGGAACGGGUACAUAUGCGCUAAUAGGGUUAUUUCAUCUCUAAGAACACAUUAUUACCACCAGAGACAUGAACACAAUUGAAAAUCAUUUUCUAAAAGGUGCAACGGAUAACAAACGUAUUAUAAGCGAAUAAGUAAUGAAUAAGUAACAGGGUACUAACCGAGCGCUGGAACAGUUUCAUACGUGGUAAUAUGGUUAUUUCAUCUCUAAGAACACAUUAUUACCACCAGAGACAUGAACACAAUUGAAAAUCCUUUUCUAAAAGGUGCAACGUAUACAAACGUAUUAUAAGCGAAUAAGUAACGAAUAAGUAACAGGGUAUUAUCCGAGCGCUGGAACGGGUACAUACGCGCUAAUAGGGUUAUUUCAUCUCUAAGAACACAUUAUUACCACCAGAGACAUGAACACAAUUGAAAAACGAUUUAUUUCAAGUGCAACGUAUAAAACGCGUAUUAAAGCGAAUAAGGAACGAAUAAGUAACGGGUAUAUACGCGCUAAUAUGGUUAUUUCAUCUCUAAGAACACAUUGUUACCACCAGAGACAUGAACACAAUUGAAAAUCCUUUUAAAAAGGUGCAACGUAUAACAAACGUAUUAUAAGCGAAUAAGUAACGAAUAAGUAACAAGGUAUUAUCCGAGCGCUGGAAAGGGUACAUACGCGGUAAUAGGGUUAUUUCAUCUCUAAGAACACAUUGUUACCACCAGAGACAUGAACACAAUUAAAAAUCGAUUUAUUUCAAGGUGCAAUGCGUAACACACGUUUUAUAAGCGAAUAAGGAACGAAUAAGUAACAGGGUAUCAGUGUAGCGCUGAAACGGGUAUAUAUGCGCUAAUGCGGUUUUUUCACCUCAGAGAACACAUAAUUACCGCCAGAGACAUGAAAGCAAUCGAUAAUCGAUUUAUUUCAAGGUGCAACGUAUACCACGCGUAUUAAAAGCGAAUAAGGAACGAAUAAGUAACAGGGUAUCAGUCGAGCGCUGAAACGGGUACAUAUGUUCUAUUAGGAUUAUUUUACCUCUAAGAACCGGAAAUAUUAACCACCAGAGAUACGAAAAUAUUUCUUUUUGAAAUUGGAACGUAUAACACACGUUUUAUAAGCGAAUAAGGAACGAAUAAGUAACAGGAUAACAGUGUAGCGCUGAAACGGGUACAUAGGCGCUAAUAGGGUUUCCCCCCUCUUCGAACACAUAGGUACCACAAGAGACAAGAAAACAAUUGAAAAUCAUUUUCUAAAUGGUUCAACGUAAAACAAACGUAUGAGACGUGAAUAAGAAACGAAUAAGUAACAGGGUAACAGUCGAGCGCUGAAACGGGUACAUACGCGCUUAUAGGGUUAAAUCACCCAUUAGAACCCAAAUUUACCACCAGUGACAAGAAAACAAUUGAAAAUCAUUUUUUUUAAAUGUGCAACGUAUUACACGCGUAUUAUACGCGAAUAAGGAACGAAUAAGUAACAGGGUAUCAGUCGAGCGCUGAAACUGCUACAUACGCGCUGAUAGGGGUAUACCACCUCUUAGAAACGAAAUCUACCUCUAGAAACAAAACAAUUUAAAUCCUUUUUUUAAAAGGUGCAACGUAUACCACGCGUAUUAAAAGCGAUUAAGGAACGAAUAAGUGUCAUUUUUGGGUCUAUUGUGGGAGUUGUCUCAUUGGCGAUCAUACCACAUCUUCAUUUUUAUACAAGCGCUAAAAGGUGAUUUCACCUCUUCGAACCAAGAACCACAUCUUCAAACAUACGAAUAUAAAACAUUUAAAAGGUAGAACGUAUAAAAAUCAAAUAAGAAACAAAUAAGUAUCUAACAUAGAGCAACAGGAUCGGUUGAGCACAAACACAUAUAAAUAGGUCAUAAAAAGGUCAUUCUACCUCAACAAAUUUAGAACUAUAACCAGAGAUAAGAAUAUAAACAAUUAAAAAGGGGGAAGGAUAUCAAAAAUCGAAUAGAAGUAACGAAUAAGGAAUAAGUAAUAAGUAACGAAUAGGUAAUAAGGAAUUAGUAAUGAAUAGGUAACGAAUAGGGAAUAAGUAACGAAUAGGUAACGAAUAGGGAAUAGGGAAUAAGUAACGAAUAGGUAACGAAUAGGGAGUAGGGAAUAGGUAGCGAAUAGGUAACGAAUAGGUAACGAAUAUGGAAUAGGUAACGAAUAGGGAAUAGGUAACGAAUAGGGAAUAGGGAAUAGGUAACGAAUAGGGAAUAGGGAAUAGGUAACGAAUAGGGAAUAGGUAACGAAUAGGGAAUAGGGAAUAAGUAACCAUCUUGACGUCCAUGAAAACCAACGGUCUAAUCUAUAUAAAAAACGACAAACGAAAAACACUUAUGAACCACAUAAGCAUGCCUAUAGGGCAACAUAUAGUGUUCAACAAUAGACAGGUGUCUAAACUAAAUCGUUAUGUUGGUUCAAAAGCUCACCCAGAACUUAUAGGGUUCAUGUUGUCUAUUCUUUAGUUUUCUAUGUUGUGUCAUGUGUAAUAUUGUUUGUCUGUUUGUCUUUUUCAUUUUUAGCCAUGGCGUUGUCAGUUUGUUUUAGAUUUAUGGGUUUGACUGUCCCUUUGGUAUCUUUCGUCCCUUUUUUGUAGUGUUACUUAUCCUGCAAAAUUAACAGAAAACUUACUUGAUGUGAUUUGCUCGUCUCGAAUUCAUGUAAAAGAGAGGCGAAAGAUAUACCAGAGGGACUUUCUGGUCUUGUCGAAUCCAAAGAAAUUUGGCAUAUUGGUGCUUCUCGGAAAAUCACAAGGUGUAAGGUCAAAGACUAGUUCACUUAGAGUGGCUUAUUACUUUGUAAAUCCUCCUCCUUAACAUCAUCCUCAUCCUCGUCAUCAUGUCGGCCGGGCAUUUUAUAGCCAACUUUACGGUAUGGGUGUUUCUCAAUGGUGAAAGCCGUACUGUUGCCCAUAAUUGCUUACAUCCACUUUAUUUGAACUAUGGUUGAUAGUUGUCUCAUUGGCAAUCAUACCUCAUCUUAUAUUUUUAUAAAGGUCUCUGAAAACUGAAAUGCGGCAUUAGGGACAGACAAGAUGCAUAUUUCAAUCCAAAACUAAAAGCCAUAUCUGUUAAAACCCCCAUAAGUAAGUAAGAACUACAUUUACUUUUCAGCUGUCCAAGUUUCAUUACAAUCAAGCGAGAAAUGCUAAUAUUAUCCAUUGAAACCAGUGGUAUUAUGCAAGAGAAUUUCAGACAUACUAAGAACUAUUUGCCCCAGGAAUUACAACCUCCAUAUAUAGCAUAUUGAGAAAUAGCCUUGGUCAAUACCUUUGAAAUGAGCUAGGUCCGGUAGAGAUAUGCCAAGUAGUAUCGAAUGUGUGGUUGGAAUGAAAAAUACAUAUUGCCUUGAUUAGGGGCUGACGGGUUGCAGCAGUCCAUUCCAUUGUUCAAAAUAAGCGAUUUCUCAAUGUUCAAGCGUAUUUCGAUAUUUCGGUCCUUCGUUACUCCUCUAAUAUGCGUUACGGAACAUAUUGACUAUAUGCCUUUUGUUCCUCUCUGGAUAAGAUUUCGAAUAAGGUUGAAGGUAUAUCUAUAAUUAGGGACUAAUAUGACGUUAGUGAGUGAAAUUUGGCGGAAUUUAUGCAAUGUUUGCAAUAUUUUUAAGAGAUUACUAGAGUGAUUACGGUAAAAUUUUGUUACAUCUUACAAGUUAUUUUCAUAACAAUUUUGGUUUAAACAGGCGGAUUGACAAACAUACAUUUUAUAAAACGACUAUCUAAUUUAAUAAUGAUAAAAUACAAUUAAAACGGAAUAUUUUGGUAUAUAAUGAUACAGUUUUGUUUUACUAACUGAAGUACAUAUUCGCCAUCCAAAUGUUAAUACACGUCAAAGUAAGAAGUGACACCACUAUCGUGCGUAACGUCAUAAUAUGCGUUGAGGAACCGACCCUUAUUGCAGAUAUACUUAUACCUCAUUCGAAAUCUUAUCAAGAUAGGAACAAAAGGUAUAUAGUCAAUAUGUUCCGUAACGCAUAUUAGACGGGAGUAACGAAGGACCGAAAUAUCGAAAUACGCUUGAACAUUGAGAAAUCGCUUAUUUUGAAUAAUGGAAUGGACUGCUGCAACCAUCAGCCCCUAAUCAAGGCAAUAUGUAUUUUUCAUUCCAACCACACAUUCGAUACUACUUGGAAUCUCUCAACGGCAAAGUUCCGAACCGGACUCAGAUCAUUUCAAAGGUAUUGACCAAGGCUAUUUCUCACUAUGCUAUAUAUGGAGGUCGUAAUUCCUGGGGCAAAUAGUCUUAGUAUGUCUGAAAUUCUCUUGCAUAAUACCACUGGUUUCAAUGGAUAAUAUUAGCAUUUCUCGCUUGAUUGUCAUGAAACUUGGACAGCUGAAAAGUAAAUGUAGUUCUUACUUACUUAUGGAGGUUUUAACAGAUAUGGCUUUUAGUUUUGGAUUGAAUAUGCAUCUUUUCUGUCCCUAAUGCCGCAAUUCAGUUUUCAGAGACCUUUAUAAAUAAUAUAUAAAGGUUAUAAGAUGAGGUAUGAUUGCCAAUGAGACAACUAUCAACCAUAGUUCAAAUAAAGUGGAUGUAAGCAAUUUUUGGCAACAGUACGGCCUUCACCAGUGAGAAACACCCAUACCGUAUAGUCGCCUAUAAAAUGCCCCGUGACAGGAUGACGAGGAUGAGGAUGAGGAUGAUAAUUAGGAGGAGGAUUUACAAAGCAACAAGCCACUCUAAGUCAACUAGUCUUUGACCUUACACCUUGUGAUUUUCCGAGAAGCACCAAUAUGCCAAAUUUCUUUGGAUACGAACCAGAACAGAAUGUCCCUCUGGUAUAUCUUUCGCCUCUCUUUUACGUGCAUUCGAGACGAUCAAAUCACAUCAAGUAAGUUUUCUGUUAAUUUUGCAGGAUAAGUAACACUACAACUUAAGCUCUGAGUGAGCUUUUGAACCAACAUAACGAUUUAGUUUAGACACCUGUCUAUUGUUGAACACUAUAUGUUGCCCUCUAGACAUGCGUAUGUGGUUCAUAAGUGUUUCUCGUUUGUCGAUUUUUAUAUAGAUUAGACCGUUGGUUUUCCCGUUUGAAUGGUUUUACACUAGUAACUGUUUUUUGGGCCCUUUAUAGCUUGCUGUUCGGUGUGAGCCAAGGCUCAGUGUUGAAGACCGUACCUUGAUCCUAUGAUGAUUUACUUUUAUAAUUAUGACUUGGAUGGAGAGUUGUCUCAUGGACACUCAUACCACAUUUUCCUAUAUCUAUUAGGUAUUUUUGUGUCCUUUGAUUGGGGUCUUAUUGACGUAUAACACACAUCUUCUACAGUUUUAGUUCCGUUUGAUGGACUUUUAAAUCGUUAAAUGAAUAUGCCAAGAGGAAGAUUAACCGAAAAGAGAUGUACAUAAAUUUAUUGUGCAUUUAGUAAACAAAACAAACAAAAAACGUUUAACUUUUCAAUCUUUUACUCCCUCCUCCCAAUAUUGUUCAUCUUUAUUCAUUCUGAAGACAUGUCUCAUCUAAACGAAGUCUGAUUGAUUUCCAACUUACUAGUAAACCCAUAUGCCUUUGAAAAUCCUGCAUCCGCCCCUUGAGAUAUUUAUAAGAUUGAGAAUGGAAAUGGGGAAUAUGUCAAAGAGACAACAACCCGACCAAAGAGCAGACAACAGCCGAAGGAAACCAAUGGGUCUUCAACGCAGCGAGAAAAUCUCGCACCCAGAGGUGGUCCUCAGCUAGUCCCAAACUAAAAAUGUGUUCUCGUUCAGUGAAAAUGGACGUCACACUUAAUUCCAAAACAUAUAAAUGUAAUAAAAAAAACAAAACAUACAAGACUAACAACGGCCAGAGGCUCCUGACUUGAGACAGGCGCAACUAAAAAUGCGGCGGGAUUAAACAUGUUUUGUGAGAUCUCAACCCUCCCCCUAUACCUGUAGCCAAUGUAGAAUAAAGAAACACAUAGCAAUACGCACAGUAAAACUCAGUUUAAAAGAAGUCCGAGUCCGAUGUCAGAAUAGGCAACAAAAGAAACCAAGCAAAAUGACAAUGAUAAAUAAAUUAACAAAGGACUGACAUGCAAGCUGCAGACCUCAAUUAAACUGAUUGAAAGAUUAUGUCUUCAUCAUAUGAAAAUCAAGUACAAUCCCUACCCUUAGGGGUUUAGUAUCAUAUCUUUAUAAAAUAAAUGAGAAGAACAUAACCCGUAUCAUGCCAACAACUGGUUUUAGAAUACAUGUGUUUAUUUCCGAUGCAAAGACAAUGAGUGAAUCAAUAUUAAUACCAAAAUAUGCAAUCCUUAAUGACCUGUCAACAGUUUCGUAACUAUAUCUUUUCCGAAUAAGUAUUUAAUAUUUCAAGGUUUGAAGUCAAGUGAGAGGACAUUUGCCACAUCUCAGCAAGGUCCGAAGUGACUGUCUUUCCAACUCCUCCAGAAAGCGAUCUUUUCAUUGGUGAACAAAACUAUUAGCAAAUUGAAUUAAGGAUAUACUAAAAUCAAUUAAGUGUAUACUAAAAUCGUUAUUUAUGACCUUGAAACCGGCGCCAAUAUUUCUUAUAUGCUGAAUAUUUCAGUAUAUGCUAAAUUGAUUUUAGGGUAUCCUAAAAUGAUUUUAGUAUAUGCUAAAAUCAUUUUAGUAUAUACUGAAUUGACUUAAGAAUACCCUAAAAUGAAUUUAGCAUAUACUAAAAUCAUUUUAGGAUACACUAAAAUCAUUUUAGGAUACCCUAAAAUCAAUUUAGGGUAUGCUAAAAUGUAAUUUAGUAUAUACUGAAAUCAUUUUAGGAUAUACUAAAAUCGAUAUUUAUGACCCUGAUUCCGCGCCAUAUAGGAAGAGCAAACGGCACCCCUUCACAACUUAACUAAAUGGUGUAAUAACCUCGACAGUAAUUAUCUUCACUUCUCUGGAUGUUUUAAUAUUGUAGGAUAUCUUUUUAAGCAGAUCUUUGACAUAAUCAUUGAAACACUCCUGAAGUUAUUGACGGUCUGAGAUAAGGAAACACUGAAUCACAGGUUCAUCUGGAAGGGUCGAUGUCUAACUAUUUUACUACAGAGAAACGCCAUCCUUGUCUAAUUGAAAUGAAUCCUGGUUACUUCCCUUUGUAUUGGUAAUAACCUAGUUCAGUCCUAAAGUACAACGUUUAUAAAACAACACGCAUAUGAAUCAGCUGCACAUUUAAUUUGUUAGUUUUGUGAGUCAAUGGUCUAAUUCUAUAGUCUCUAUAAU